This is a long non-coding RNA of Apis dorsata (giant honeybee), 895 nucleotides long. RefSeq lists it as uncharacterized. The transcript is spliced from 2 exons. Lineage: Eukaryota; Metazoa; Arthropoda; Insecta; Hymenoptera; Apidae. The record is from RefSeq and is a predicted model, not a curated record.
UUUGGAAAACGUAUAUUUCUACGAGCUGGCCCAGUUUCUUCAACCGGCUCGAAAGUAAAAUUGAAAUAGAUAUGCAUGAUGUGUUGCAUGGAAGAUUUCGAUGGAUGGUUAAUGAUAUGGAAAAAAUAAUCAUUCUCUCAUUUCAGCAGGAGAGAAAAUAUUGUAUAAUUUUUCUAUCAAAAUUUAUUAUAUAAAUUUUCACGAUGAGAUUGAUUUCUAUGAAUCUGAAAUAUAAACAGAAUUAGAAUUGGAUGGUGAAGAAUAGAAUGUGCAGAGCAAAGAAAUGAAAAAUUGCAAGAGACACGUUAAUUUCGUGUUUAAGGAACAGUGGCAUUAUGUGAUUUAUACAUAUUUAAAAUAAAUAUGUUAAACUUAUACAUAAACAUGCAAUAAUCUAAGUGUAAUAAUCUGAAUGCAAGUCGAGGAACGCAUAUUAAAAUGCAAAAACACGAAGUAAUCACAACUUUCUCGUAAAAUGCUCGAUCAAACGAUAGCAUUGAAUGGAAGAGCGAGGUUUAUUGGAUCCAGUGUAGAAUUGCAACCAGAAGCUGGUCGGCAGCCAUUCCUUUCAUUACGUUCACCGAUAUUCUAGAAAGUUGUCACUUGGAGGAAGCCUUCUCUCUUUCGCCCAGUCAGAGACUGUUGGAAAUGUUGAACCUCAUCAGAAACUUGAUGCAACUAACGUUUCUUGCACGAUAAUGGUUUCCUGCUGACCGAUCACAAAUUAGAUUCUCGAAAGUAUCGCGAGAGGCAACUUCCUUCCUAUCACUAAACACGUAUUUCACGUUUUCAUAAUAUAUUUCUACAAUAUCUACUUCGUAAUCCAAUUUUAGAUGUUCGUAAGCUUGACAAAUUGAAUUUGGUAAUUUAAAUGUUGUGUUGUACGUAAUCAGUG